AGAAUACAUAAUGUUAACGUGACGUCAGAAACAUGAGGUUAUUUGUAAUUGAAAAUACUAAUAUUGGGGUAGUUUACCCGGCGGUAUAUGUUAUUAUAUAAUUAUACCUUAUAUCAAUUUUUAAUAAGUAAUAACCCUUAUUAUUUACUAGGUAAGUAUUCAUUUUUAAUUUAUUGUGUUUUUCGGUUUUCAAUUUUCGCAAG
This is a non-coding RNA of Cinara cedri, 203 nucleotides long. The record is from the annotation of a GenBank genome assembly. Lineage: Eukaryota; Metazoa; Arthropoda; Insecta; Hemiptera; Aphididae.